GGGUAGUGGGCGGCUUGGUUUCCGGGUUGAAGAAGGACGGAGGGAAAUUAGAAAGGUGGUGCGAAAUUCCAGGAUUUGUGAAUCCAAGAAUAUUCGAAAUCCUUUUUCUUCCUUUCCCGCCUUUGGGGUGCCAGGGGGGGGUUGGCC
This 147-nucleotide ribosomal RNA is filed under the name Caulerpa veravalensis. Its description in RNAcentral is "5.8S ribosomal RNA". The record is from RNAcentral. Lineage: Eukaryota; Viridiplantae; Chlorophyta; Ulvophyceae; Bryopsidales; Caulerpaceae.